GUACGGGAGGCAGCAGUGGGGAAUCUUGCGCAAUGGGCGAAAGCCUGACGCAGCAACGCCGCGUGUGUGAUGAAGGUCUUCGGAUCGUAAAGCACUGUCGCGAGGGACGAAUAAGUUCUCGGCUAACAUCCGGGGACGAUGACGGUACCUCGAGAGGAAGCACCGGCUAACUCUGUGCCAGCAGCCGCGGUAAUACAGAGGGUGCAAGCGUUGUUCGGAAUUAUUGGGCGUAAAGCGCGUGUAGGCGGCCUAGCAAGUCGGGUGUGAAAGCCCUCGGCUUAACCGAGGAAGUGCGCCCGAAACUACUAGGCUUGAGUACCGGAGAGGGUGGCGGAAUUCCCGGUGUAGAGGUGAAAUUCGUAGAUAUCGGGAGGAACACCAGCGGCGAAGGCGGCCACCUGGACGGAUACUGACGCUGAGACGCGAAAGCGUGGGUAGCAAACAGGAUUAGAUACCCUAGUAGUCC
This 466-nucleotide ribosomal RNA is filed under the name uncultured bacterium. RNAcentral describes it as "bacterial SSU rRNA". It matches the Rfam family "Bacterial small subunit ribosomal RNA", at positions 339 to 796 of the family's 1533-position model. The record is from RNAcentral.